UGCAUGUUUAGUUCAGAAGGUGUUCAGGCUGUUUAUAGGUUUUUAAUAAUUCUCUUGUUGUAAUUAGCUAUUGUUUUUAUAGUAACAACUUCCACAGGGACUCGUUAUGUGUGUAAAUGUUCUGGAUCUUUCUACGAGGAGGAUUUUUCAGAAGAAGUCUCCAGUGUCAUUGCUUUGCAGAUUUUCUGACAGAGGAGAUCUUCAGGGUUUGGAGGUUAGGGUCAGAGCGCAGGACCAGCUAUGGCAGACCGCCCCUGAAGCAGAGAGGGUUAAGUGUCUUGUUCAAGGACCCAACAGAAUGGUCAAAGGCUGCUGGAUCUGCCAAUCUCCCGCUGUGGCUCCAGGAUGUCCCGGUAUUUGGAUACCAUGAGGACAGAAAUGAAGUAAACUACAGCCAGAGCCAGGAACUGAGCCUGUUUACUGUCAUCCUGCACACACACACAGUUACCAUACAUCAGACCUAUUCACAGAAAGACACAUAUUAAUGGUUAAUGGUACAUAAAGUCAAUAAUUAGUGUAAACAAAUUGAAUAAAUUUAGCCCUAUUCACUGCUAGAAUGCAUAACUCAUUUUGGCUGCACUACAUUAACAUGCAAUUAUUAACACCAUGUUGUCCUGACUGAAUAGAUGUUGGUGGUCCUCAGGUGAGACGGAAAUGUCUCCAAGCAGACCUUUUAUAGACGCGACUUUCAGGAAAUAUUACAAAAAUUUGUUCCGACUAAAAACCACAAGGCCAAGCUUUAAUGCUCAAACAUUUAAAAACGGCUGUUAUUCAGUGAACUGAUAUCUCAAUACGUACCCCAUAAAUCCCCCCCACACACACAGACACACAGCUUCAGUGAUGCAUAAACACAAGAUCGAAUCUAUAUAAAGAACAGAUGCAGACACCAAACCCUGACAUCCCUUUCUCACUCUCUAGCUGUCCAUCAUUUCCACAUGCACAUCAAUCAUGCACACACAAACAUCUCACCACAUCUCUGAAGACGACAGCUCUCAGACGGUUGAUGUCCACGUCCUGCAGCAAUCUGUCAGGGUCCUUGAUAGGUGAGAGGUUACG
Hemibagrus wyckioides is the source of this 1056-nucleotide long non-coding RNA. RefSeq lists it as uncharacterized. NCBI's taxonomy places the organism in Eukaryota, Metazoa, Chordata, Actinopteri, Siluriformes, Bagridae. The record is from RefSeq and is a predicted model, not a curated record. The transcript has 3 exons.